Molecule: ribosomal RNA, 901 nt
Filed under: uncultured archaeon
Lineage: Archaea
Description: bacterial SSU rRNA
Rfam family: Archaeal small subunit ribosomal RNA
Source: RNAcentral
GUGGCAGCCGCCGCGGUAAAACCAGCACCUCAAGUGGUCAGGAUGAUUAUUGGGCCUAAAGCAUCCGUAGCCUGCUUUGUAAGUUUUCGGUUAAAUCCAUGUGCUCAACGCAUGGGCUGCCGAAAAUACUGCAUAGCUAGGGAGUGGGAGAGGUAGACGGUACUCAGUAGGUAGGGGUAAAAUCCUUUGAUCUAUUGAUGACCACCUGUGGCGAAGGCGGUCUACCAGAACACGUUCGACGGUGAGGGAUGAAAGCUGGGGGAGCAAACCGGAUUAGAUACCCGGGUAGUCCCAGCUGUAAACGAUGCAGACUCGAUGAUGCAUUGGCAUAAUAGCCAUUGCAGUGUCGCAGGGAAGCCGUUAAGUCUGCCGCCUGGGAAGUACGUACGCAAGUAUGAAACUUAAAGGAAUUGGCGGGGGAGCACCACAAGGGGUGAAGCCUGCGGUUCAAUUGGAGUCAACGCCAGAAAUCUUACCCGGAGAGACAGCAGAAUGAAGGUCAAGCUGAAGACUUUACCAGACAAGCUGAGAGGUGGUGCAUGGCCGUCGCCAGCUCGUGCCGUGAGAUGUCCUGUUAAGUCAGGUAACGAGCGAGAUCCCUGCCGCUAGUUGCUAUCAUUAUUCUCAGGAAUAGUGGAGCGAAUUAGUGGGACUGCCGUUGUUAAAACGGAGGAAGGAAGGGGCUACGGCAGGUCAGUAUGCCCCGAAACUCUGGGGCCACACGCGGGCUGCAAUNGUAGUGACAAUGAGUUCCAAACUCGAAAGAGAGUGGCAAUCUCUAAACGCUACCACAGUUAUGACUGAGGGCUGUAACUCGCCCUCACGAAUAUGGAAUCCCUAGUAACCGCGUGUCAUUACCGCGCGGUGAAUACGUCCCUGCUCCUUGCACACACCGCCCGUC